GACGAACGCUGGCGGCGUGCUUAACACAUGCAAGUCGAGCGGUAAGGCCCUUUCGGGGGUACACGAGCGACGAACGGGUGAGUAACACGUGGGUGACCUGCCCUCAGCUCUGGGAUAAGCCUGGGAAACCGGGUCUAAUACUGGAUAUGACUCCAUGACGCAUGUUGUGGGGUGGAAAGCCUUGUGCGGCUGAGGAUGGGCCCGCGGCCUAUCAGCUUGUUGGUGGGGUGANGGCCUACCAAGGCGACGACGGGUAGCCGGCCUGAGAGGGCGACCGGCCACACUGGGACUGAGACACGGCCCAGACUCCUACGGGAGGCAGCAGUGGGGAAUCUUGCGCAAUGGGCGAAAGCCUGACGCAGCGACGCCGCGUGAGGGAUGACGGCCU
Molecule: ribosomal RNA, 388 nt
Filed under: uncultured bacterium
Lineage: Bacteria
Description: bacterial SSU rRNA
Rfam family: Bacterial small subunit ribosomal RNA
Source: RNAcentral